GCCAAUUUGUAAUUAUUUAUUUCUUUCUACCUCUAUUAUUGUUUUUAUUUUUCUAUUGUUGUCGCUAGCACGUUAUUUGCCGGGCAUGAAACUCAUUCUCUCUUUGAGUUCUGGCAUAAAUAAAUAACUUAUGGAUGUUUUUCCUUUUAACAAAUCAAUAAAAGUUUUAUGUUAAAAGUUAAUUGUAUUAUUUUUAAUUCAAAUAAAGUUUAAUAAAAUGUAGUUGAAUACGCCUAUGAGUCUAACCUGAAGUUAGCCGUUCCUCUAAUUUGAUAAUUCUACACAGUUAUCUGUUAUAAAUCGACUCAGAUGAAUAUUCUAUUAUUUAGAUGUACAAUAUAAGGAAAAUACUAGAAAAUUAUGUCAAUUUUAUAUGAUAUAAUCAAGAAGUUCUAUUUCUGUGAAAGGAUUACAUAUGAUACAUUGAACAAAAUUUAAUUAUACUAUACAAUUCAUAUUAUUUCUACGGAAAAGGAAUCUUAACCUCACAAAUAAGGAAUUUUAUCCAUUAUCAACUGUUUGACAAAUUCAACCAUGGAGAGGUACACAAUUGAGCAGCGCGUUAAGAUUGUUGAAGCCUUUUACGAAAAUGGGCGUUCAAAUCAAAAUGCAUUUCGUGAUUUUUUUGGUCAUAGUCGGAAAGUCAGAUCUGAAUUGAUUGAGCCUGGUUUUUUAUCAGGUGAUUAUAAUCAUAAUAUACAAUACAAUGCCUCAGGUGCGUGGUCAAACAUGUCGUGACCACUGAAAUAAUAAAAUCAAUUUCUUAAGGCUGUUAUGUGAAUAAAAAUUAUGAUAGUCAGUCAACGUCCUACGGGGACACAGCUGGUCAAUCAGCUGUAAUGUACGUAGCGAAAUUUAUGAGGCUGCAAUUCGUUUAUUAACCGUGAAAUUUUUUUUAUAACUACUAUGGACUAUAUUACUACCAAAUAAAAUGGUCAGUCAACCAUUCCGUAGAGCAACAUCCAUCAGUCAGUGAAUGAGAAAUUAAAUUUUUUCGUUCUCUACGGAUAUUACACGCGGCAGCUCGUCUUUUAUUUAUAAUUAAGUUAAAAUAAAAUAACACCAUCAUAAUCAAUUAUAAUCUGAUAAAUAAAAUUCGUUCCAAUACAACAGUGAACUUGAUGAACGCAGGUAUAUAAAUAGGUAAGAACUCAUUGAUUUUUAAACAUUUGUAACUCAUAUAUUUAUUUCAUGAAGAAUUGAAAAUUGUACAAAGCUAUAAAUUAUCAUCAUAUAAUUCAUCAUCUGAAUCUUCCAUAUCAUUAAUCUCACUAUCGUGAUCUGACACGUCAAGCUCAGAUGUUUCAGACUGGCAAUCUAAAAAAUAAAUAAAUUCAUCAUAAAAACUUAUUUUCGUGAUUGUUUAAUUCAGAUAAAGAUAUUUUCAUACCUGUAUUUUCUUGUGAAUGUUGAAUAAUAACAUCCUGUACAAGUUCUGGUAAUUUUUCUACUUUGAACCAAUCAAACUCAUAUUUUUCAUCAACUAAUUUCCAGCCAUAGUUAGUAGGAGAUGGCUCCGUUGGAAUUUGACGGUUACGCUAAAUAUUUGCAAUAAAGCUUGCUCUUAAGAACUGCUGCAUACUCGACCCAUCUAUAUUCUUAAUUUAAUUUUAAACGAAUCAUUUGCGGUGCGAAAACAUUUAUCUUGGAAAAUAAAACGAAUUGCCUCGUCCAUUGAUUUUAUUUUUUUCAAGCCGUAUAAAUGGCAAACAAAUUCCUGAACCUUAUUAAACAUAUUAUUUUGGUUGCUUUCAUCUGCAAGUCCAAGGUCAGCGAAUGUUUUUUGGAAAUCUUUGCUUUGCUUCAUUAACUGCAGAGGCUUUUUUUACCUUUCUUGUAAAAAGCCGGGUUAAAAUCACAUCCAGUCGAAACGUGUAAUCCUGGAAGAACGUUGCAAACAGAAUUUCCCAAUUUUUCAUAAAUUUUACUGACAUUGAUCAUCCUUUGAUGAUUUCCGGUCCCAACUUAUAUCCAUAUUGUCGAUGAACUUGAUAAAUUUACCAUGUUUCCUAACAAAAUAAUGAGAAUGUCUGUGUGCGAGCACCUAAUUGAAAUGUUUACAUCUUGUACGAUUUCACAAACAUGGAAAAUUAUUUUCGUAUCAGCCUCCUCAUGUGCUUCACAGGUUAAAUUUUCAUUAAUAUUUUUACGUAUUUUUCCAUUUAAAACAGCGUAUUCGUAGCAAUCAUCAAAGUUUAAUUUGACGGUUUUAACGCCAAAAUAUGGUAGUAAUUCAUCAAUAUCCCAGUGAUUAAUGAUAAAUUUAAUGAAUGCUAUUCUAAAUUUCGAACCACGCAUUUCUUUUGAAAAAUCUGUGGUGCGUAUUUGUUCCGGUCCAGAGAUAUUAUAAUCGCCAUUAACACAAUUUCCUCGCAGAGCAUUUUUCCAUUUACAUUUACUUUUCUUUUUUUUAAUGAUUCUACAAAUAUUUUGUCUUUAUUAGUUAAAAUUUUUGCCGUAUCGAUAUUGCGAUCAACGGAUUCAAAUUUUGAUUCACAAUAUCAAAAUCAAAUUUGUCAGCUGCGAUAAACUCUUCUGUAUUUGGUUCACAUCUAAAUCAGCUAUGACAUCUUGAUUUAAUCUUAAGCCAGCUGUUUGCAAAACAUGAGAUAUUAUGGUGGAUCUUAUGCUAUGACUUUUACACCAGCGCUGCUGAGUUGAUAUAGAGUUCGUAAAAUGCAAUACUCCUGUUAAUCGGCUAGCUGCAUCGGCAAAUAAAUGUCGUACUUUAAAUGAUUAUGAUGGUGUUAUUUUAUUUUAACUUAAUUAUAAAUAAAAGACGAGCUACCGCGUGUAAUAUCCAUAGAGAACGAAAAAAUUUAAUUUCUUAUUCACUGACUGACGGGUGUUCUACGGAAUGGUUGACUGACCAUUUUAUUUGUUAAUAAUAUAGUCAAUAGUAGUUAUAAAAAAAAAUUCACGCUUAAUAAACGAAUUUCGCUCUUUUGCUCGAGAAAUUCAAUGAUCGCGUUAUCUCACGUUGUGGCGAUGUUAAUUUGAAAGAAAAAGUGUACGUCAAUAAGCCAAGAACAAUUCAAGAGCUAAAGGAUGAGAUAAUUCGAUACAUUCACGAUAUUGAACCUCAAUUAUGUCUCAGAGUCAUUGAAAAUAUGAACCAUCGGACAGAGUUAUACCACCAAAGCCGUGGCGAGCAUUUAGGCAAUAUUUUGUUUCACACAUAAUUGUCAUAGAUCCUUCCAUCAUUAUAAAAAAUAUUAAGAUAAUUAAUUAUCUGAGAAA
This is a long non-coding RNA of Diorhabda carinulata, 3240 nucleotides long. RefSeq lists it as uncharacterized. Lineage: Eukaryota; Metazoa; Arthropoda; Insecta; Coleoptera; Chrysomelidae. The transcript has 2 exons. The record is from RefSeq and is a predicted model, not a curated record.